GCCGGAGUGGCGAAAUCGGUAGACGCAGUUGAUUCAAAAUCAACCAUCGAGAGAUGUGCCGGUUCGAGUCCGGCCUCCGGCA
This 82-nucleotide transfer RNA is filed under the name Enterobacter sp. BIGb0383. Its description in RNAcentral is "tRNA-Leu". It matches the Rfam family "tRNA". From Rfam's summary of the family: Transfer RNA (tRNA) molecules are approximately 80 nucleotides in length. Their secondary structure includes four short double-helical elements and three loops (D, anti-codon, and T loops). Further hydrogen bonds mediate the characteristic L-shaped molecular structure. tRNAs have two regions of fundamental functional importance: the anti-codon, which is responsible for specific mRNA codon recognition, and the 3' end, to which the tRNAs corresponding amino acid is attached (by aminoacyl-tRNA synthetases). tRNAs cope with the degeneracy of the genetic code in two manners: having more than one tRNA (with a specific anti-codon) for a particular amino acid; and 'wobble' base-pairing, i.e. permitting non-standard base-pairing at the 3rd anti-codon position. RNAcentral also lists the same sequence under 1 other name. The record is from RNAcentral. Lineage: Bacteria; Pseudomonadati; Pseudomonadota; Gammaproteobacteria; Enterobacterales; Enterobacteriaceae.